Molecule: long non-coding RNA, 631 nt
Organism: Passer domesticus (house sparrow)
Lineage: Eukaryota; Metazoa; Chordata; Aves; Passeriformes; Passeridae
Exons: 2
Source: RefSeq, a predicted model, not a curated record
GUUUCCAAUAUAAUACUCUAUUCUGUAGGUCAGAUUUUUAAAGAGUCUAUUAACAUUGCUUUGCUAUGAUUGACUUGGUGCUUUCCAGUAUUUUUUUAUUGUAAGAUGUGCAUGUGAAGUUACUUGCAGAACACUGAAUUAAGAGAGAUUAAUUGAUACAAGCUAAGUUCCUAUUCCUUCCACGAUGUUUUGUUCCAUGUAUAAGAAAGAAUACUAAUGCCUGGCUUGUAGCAUGCUGAAAAAAGACUCUGUGGAGGACUAAGACAUUUACAAAUCACUUACAGAGAGAAGCUGAGCACAGAGGAAAAAAAAUCCAGUUGUCUCUUUCCAGAAAAUACUUUGGAGGAUGACUGCAUUUCAAAGGAAGCGAUUGCCUUGAGCACAGACUUGCCAGACCUGUCUGGUCCCAUCCUCUCCUGGGAAUGCUGCUCAGAGGACGUGCACAGCCUGGGCUUCCUGGAUACCUGCAGCCUGCUUUGCAUGCAGAAACAAAGGCAAAAACCUGGACCACUUCACUCACCACACAAAUCUCUACCAAAAUUUUAACUGCAGAAUGAAAUGGGCACGAGCUGCGUUAAUCUGGCAUUCAGUCAUAGGGGAAUGGCAAUAAAUACAGCUGCAAAACCUUCAA